UUUGGAAGUGACAGAUUUAUUUCAAGACGUCCAGGAUGGGAAGAUCCUCAUGAUACUACUGGAGGAGCUCUCAGGCUGUAAGUUGCUUCAUGAAUUCAAACCAUCGUCGCAUCGCAUUUUUCGGCUCAACAAUAUUGCAAAGGUCUUGAAGUUUUUGGAGGAAAGACAUGUAAAGUUGGUCAGCAUUGAUGCAGCUGAUGUUGCAGAUGGCAAUUCCUCCAUUGUUCUUGGAUUGAUAUGGAACAUUAUUCUCUUC
This is a long non-coding RNA of Polyodon spathula (Mississippi paddlefish), 256 nucleotides long. RefSeq lists it as uncharacterized. The record is from RefSeq and is a predicted model, not a curated record. Lineage: Eukaryota; Metazoa; Chordata; Actinopteri; Acipenseriformes; Polyodontidae. The transcript is spliced from 3 exons.